This 497-nucleotide ribosomal RNA is filed under the name uncultured bacterium. RNAcentral describes it as "partial 16S ribosomal RNA". It matches the Rfam family "Bacterial small subunit ribosomal RNA", at positions 28 to 507 of the family's 1533-position model. The record is from RNAcentral.
GAUGAACGCUGGCGGCGUGCCUAAUACAUGCAGGUCGAGCGAACGGACGAGAAGCUUGCUUCUCUGAUGUUAGCGGCGGACGGGUGAGUAACACGUGGAUAACCUACCUAUAAGACUGGGAUAACUUCGGGAAACCGGAGCUAAUACCGGAUAAUAUUUUGAACCGCAUGGUUCAAAAGUGAAAGACGGUCUUGCCGUCACUUAUAGAUGGAUCCGCGCUGCAUUAGCUAGUUGGUAAGGUAACGGCUUACCAAGGCAACGAUGCAUAGCCGACCUGAGAGGGUGAUCGGCCACACUGGAACUGAGACACGGUCCAGACUCCUACGGGAGGCAGCAGUAGGGAAUCUUCCGCAAUGGGCGAAAGCCUGACGGAGCAACGCCGCGUGAGUGAUGAAGGUCUUCGGAUCGUAAAACUCUGUUAUUAGGGAAGAACAUAUGUGUAAGUAACUGUGCACAUCUUGACGGUACCUAAUCAGAAAGCCACGGCUAACUACGUG